RNAcentral lists this ribosomal RNA (911 nucleotides) under Aspergillus flavipes. RNAcentral's name for it is "LSU rRNA". It matches the Rfam family "Eukaryotic large subunit ribosomal RNA", at positions 38 to 964 of the family's 3401-position model. The record is from RNAcentral. Lineage: Eukaryota; Fungi; Ascomycota; Eurotiomycetes; Eurotiales; Aspergillaceae.
GCAUAUCAAUAAGCGGAGGAAAAGAAACCAACCGGGAUUGCCUCAGUAACGGCGAGUGAAGCGGCAAGAGCUCAAAUUUGAAAGCUGGCCCCUUCGGGGUCCGCAUUGUAAUUUGCAGAGGAUGCUUCGGGUGCAGCCCCCGUCUAAGUGCCCUGGAAUGGGCCGUCAGAGAGGGUGAGAAUCCCGUCUGGGAUGGGGUGCCUGUGCCCGUGUGAAGCUCCUUCGACGAGUCGAGUUGUUUGGGAAUGCAGCUCUAAAUGGGUGGUAAAUUUCAUAUAAAGCUAAAUAUUGGCCGGAGACCGAUAGCGCACAAGUAGAGUGAUCGAAAGAUGAAAAGCACUUUGAAAAGAGAGUUAAACAGCACGUGAAAUUGUUGAAAGGGAAGCGCUUGCGACCAGACUCGCCUCCGGGGUUCAGCCGGCAUUCGUGCCGGUGUACUUCCCCGGGGGCGGGCCAGCGUCGGUUUGGGCGGCCGGUCAAAGGCCUCCGGAAUGUAGCGCCCUUCGGGGCGCCUUAUAGCCGGGGGUGCAAUGCGGCCAGCCUGGACCGAGGAACGCGCUUCGGCUCGGACGCUGGCAUAAUGGUCGUAAACGACCCGUCUUGAAACACGGACCAAGGAGUCUAACAUCUACGCGAGUGUUCGGGUGUCAAACCCGUACGCGCAGUGAAAGCGAACGGAGGUGAGAGCCCCCCCGUGGGGCGCAUCAUCGACCGAUCCUGAAGUCUUCGGAUGGAUUUGAGUAAGAGCGUAGCUGUGGGGACCCGAAAGAUGGUGAACUAUGCCUGAAUAGGGCGAAGCCAGAGGAAACUCUGGUGGAGGCUCGCAGCGGUUCUGACGUGCAAAUCGAUCGUCAAAUUUGGGUAUAGGGGCGAAAGACUAAUCGAACCAUCUGGUAGCUGGUUCCUGCCGA